CCUGGUGGCUCAGAUGGUAAAGAAUCUGCCUGCAAUGCAGGAGACCCAAAGUUUGAUCUCUGCAUCAGGA
RNAcentral lists this transfer RNA (70 nucleotides) under Bos taurus (domestic cattle). It matches the Rfam family "tRNA". From Rfam's summary of the family: Transfer RNA (tRNA) molecules are approximately 80 nucleotides in length. Their secondary structure includes four short double-helical elements and three loops (D, anti-codon, and T loops). The record is from Rfam by way of RNAcentral. RNAcentral also lists the same sequence under 5 other names. Lineage: Eukaryota; Metazoa; Chordata; Mammalia; Artiodactyla; Bovidae.